Etheostoma spectabile (orangethroat darter) is the source of this 150-nucleotide long non-coding RNA. RefSeq lists it as uncharacterized. The record is from RefSeq and is a predicted model, not a curated record. Lineage: Eukaryota; Metazoa; Chordata; Actinopteri; Perciformes; Percidae. The transcript is spliced from 3 exons.
UAAGCCCACCCACGACCUUUUCUUAAACCCACCCGUUCCAUUACUGCGAGUCACGGAAGCAUAACCCCACCCAGGACCUUUUCCUUAACAUAACAGCGUCUAAAUGGACGCCAAUAGUCCCGACCAAGCCCAUGUAGACAAAACGCGUUU